This is a long non-coding RNA of Salvia miltiorrhiza (redroot sage), 666 nucleotides long. RefSeq lists it as uncharacterized. Lineage: Eukaryota; Viridiplantae; Streptophyta; Magnoliopsida; Lamiales; Lamiaceae. The transcript is spliced from 3 exons. The record is from RefSeq and is a predicted model, not a curated record.
AUUUUAACUUCUAAAGCUCACAUCACCUCUGCCCCUUCAAUUUCUGCAAAAAAAGAAAAUAGCAUAACAACUAAAUUCAGAGGGGAAAAAAGACAUUAACUUCUAAAUUAAUAUAAAAACCUCUCCUCUGACUCUGAGCCAUUGUCCCAAAGUGUGGCAGAUUGUUGAUGAAAUGGAUCAUAUCGAUGAAGAAACUAAGCGUGUCGACGAAGAAGAAAGUGGUGAGAUGAUUGUUGCAGGCCUCAAUCUUGUUUUGAUCAUGUCUUUCCUAUCAUUGUCUGCGGAAGAUCGUUCAAAUUUCGACCAAAUCCCAGAAAUCAAAACGUCGGAUUUUGAUCAUAAAUAUAAGCAUGGCGUGUCCGAAUCGAGCUUUCCGGCAAGAAGGCAGCGAGUGAACCGGUUUCCGGCCAUCGAGAGGGAAACGACGUCGUCUAGGGUUCAUACCAAGAUAAGGGACUCCAGGCAUUGCAGAAGAUUCUGAAUUUCCAAGAACGAAGCAUGCAUUGUACAUCUAGAUGGACCAAUUUUGUAUUCGUAAUUUACAAGCCUUGUUUCUUUGAGGCAAGCUAGAUAGGAUAAGAGAAGAGAUCAAACUGUUUGUAGUUGGAUAAAUCAUUGUUGACACAAAGAAAUAGGAAAUGAUUGUCCUAAAUUGGAUUUGAAGGA